ACUUAUCUAAGGUACCUUUAAGUCUAUCUACCUUAUAUUUGAGAUGCAUGCACGAGGAACAAUUUUUAAUAGAACUUUCGGGCUUGUCGGCGCUUCUUUUUCCGAAAAACUUGUUUUCCUCUUUCAGCUUCUCAUUUUCUAAAACACGUUUUUCUAAAUCCUUUUCUUUCAAAGAAAGCUGUUUUUGAAAAUCUUUUUCUUUUAGAGAAGCAUUUUCUUUUAUGCUCUUGAC
This 232-nucleotide long non-coding RNA is filed under the name Nicotiana benthamiana. Its description in RNAcentral is "long non-coding RNA (NBEN_LNC040821)". The record is from RNAcentral. Lineage: Eukaryota; Viridiplantae; Streptophyta; Magnoliopsida; Solanales; Solanaceae.